Molecule: long non-coding RNA, 380 nt
Organism: Perca fluviatilis (European perch)
Lineage: Eukaryota; Metazoa; Chordata; Actinopteri; Perciformes; Percidae
Exons: 2
Source: RefSeq, a predicted model, not a curated record
GCUAAGAGCAGCAGAGGCAGGAUACUGAUCACAUUCAUGGCGCCGAUGGGCAACAUGACGUUGUUGAGUGACCUGCCUGUGUGAUGCAGGCUCUGUAAAGCAGCUGAAGGCCAUAAAGAGGGAAGAGCUUGGCCAGGACUUUAACGUUUUCUACAUGUGUUUCGCUGUAUCGGCCGCCGUUGUUCUCCUUGGCCCGGUCCAGCCAAGAUCCCACAUCUCCACUCAGGUGACGAUAGUGGAGGCAGCACAUCUUGAGAGAGUUCAUGAAUACUCCCAGUGUGGUUAAUAAUGAGCCACCUGCAGUACGCCAGAGACACAAAGGAACAGAAUGAAGUAUGAUUUAAGUUAAUGUGCAUAUACAGUAUAUUUACUUAAAGGUC